UCUCGACUCCAAAACAAAAACUGAAAAAUGACUGCAGUGACACUUUAAACAAGAAGAAAAGAAGGAUGAGUUCAAAGGAAUUUGAAGUUGGUACGUCUGUUGAAGCAUUUUGGUAUCCAGACAAGUGUUGGUACACUGCAAAAAUACUGAUGAAGACAGGAAAAGGCUAUGAAGUAAAGUACGAUCUUGAUAAAUUUGUCAAAGAUCUCCCUUUGAAAUAUGUAAGAGCAGAAAAGAUAUCUACAGAAUAGACAGAUUUGCUGAAACAAAGGAGAAUGACCAUCAUUGGAGGAUAACUAUGAUGCUAGCCAAAGAGGAGAAAUAUUUGACGAACAUGUGUUUUUUUAUAAUUAUUAUUGUUGUCCCUAUAGAAAUAAUAUAAAAAAAAAUGUUGUAGAUAUUGCGUAGUUGUUAAUAAUUGUCAUAGAAAUAAUCAUAUAGCUACUCUGCGUAAGGAAGUACAGCAGUCACUGUGACAAAUUUGUGGAUUUCUUUAUCAUUUACUUUAACACCAGAAAUUUGCGAAAAAAAAGAAAGCAAUAGAAUAUACCAAUAAUAAACGUUUAACUUUUGAUUCAUUAACCUUAUUAAUUGCAUUUUAAGUUGGGUAGUGAUGUUUAAUGGAUAAAUGAUAGUUAAUAUCAUUGACUUGAAGUUUUCUACCAUUUUAGGUGAAGCGAAUUAGUACCUACAACGUAUAUUUCAAUAUUAAAGACAGAUACACACGGUUCACAAAAUCGUUAGAAAAAUAAAUCUAAUUUCAAAUAAAGUGUUCCAAAGUAAUAUGCAAUUUCACUGUAAUCAAUUAAUAUAGAUCUAAAAACAGAAACAUUUAUAUGAAAUUCAUCUUUAAAUAAAUACUUUGACUUGUAUGGUACACGUUUUUCUUUACCAGAAAUAUGCAUCAUUUCGGGGCUUUUUAUUGUUGAAGGUUCGGUAAGGAUUUUGCUCUUUUUA
Mytilus trossulus (common blue mussel) is the source of this 957-nucleotide long non-coding RNA. RefSeq lists it as uncharacterized. NCBI's taxonomy places the organism in Eukaryota, Metazoa, Mollusca, Bivalvia, Mytilida, Mytilidae. The transcript has 3 exons. The record is from RefSeq and is a predicted model, not a curated record.